AGAAUAGGCCUCUUUGGCACAUGUGAUUAGCUAGGUAGCUUGAGCUAUGCCGUUAUAUCGCUGUAACCCAUCUCUUGCUUCAUUAGCUUUCUCUUCUCUAUGACACUCUUUGCACAUACGUAGAAGAAGCUUGGUGGUGGGAGUUAGACCUUCUUGCGCAUCUCGCAGAGAAGGCUCCACAGCUGUGUAUCGAUCAUUCUGGCAUACAUUAAAUAGUUAAACUGUGAAGGCUGCCUCUUGGUAAUUACUGUUAGCAUAGCGAGCAUUUAAGAUAAAGAACUGGGAACAAACCUAACAGAUUGUAGCAAAUUUGUUUUUUUUGGCCCUCGCUGUAUUUGACUUUGACAUCUCUGCUAUAGAGGAACCUUUGGAGUAUCAAACAAACGAUCUAUGAGGGUGUUCACAUCAAAACAGCAGCUCUGGGAGGCUAUUCUGACAUCAUGCAAAGAAAUUCAAGCAGAAACUUUCCAAAAACUCACAAGUUUAAUGGAUACAAGAAUUGUGACUAAUGUCAAAAAAGGGUUCCUAUGUUCACAUAUAACUAGGCCUGUUGGGAUGUUUUUGAUUGAACUAGCCUUUGAUUCAGUAAAUGUGUCCUCCGGAUGCUGCAAAUUUCACAGAUGACCAUUUUCAGUUCUUUACAACCUAUAAAUGUUUUGAAACUGUUGUGUAUGACAAUAAUAAUUAUAAUAAUAAUGGAACGGUGCAUUUUGAGUAUUCUUUAUUUUUUUAACAAUGUCUGUUUUCAUUGGGAGGUUUGCUCAAUAAAAAUACGAGAUAGAACAGUUGAUGACUUUUAUCCUGCAUUGACCAUUUACGAAAACCCGAGAAAAAUAUAAUUUGCAUAAUAAUUUGGAGCAGGAUGUACGUUCUCACCCUCACCUAUGGUUACGAGCUGUGGAUCGCGACCGAAAGAAUAAGAUCCCAGAUACAAGCGGCCAAAAUGAGUUCCUCUGCAGGGUGUACGGGCUCUCCCCUGGAGAUCGGGUGAGAAGCUCGGUCAUCUACUGCUUCUCCACGUUGAGAGGAGCCCGAUGAGGUGACUCGCGCAUGUUUGUUUCUUUCAGCUAGUACAUUGUCACCACUCUUCACAAUUGCACUGUUAACACAUUACUUGCCAAAAUAGUAUAAUAAUUACACGUAUAUACGUAUGUUACUGUUGCUAUCACAAAAAAUAUUAGGAUGUCUCCUGGAGACCUCCUUGGUGAGGUGUUCCGGUCAUGUACCACCGAAAGGAGGCCCUGGCGACGACCCAGGAUAUGCUGGAGAGAAAAUGGAUUGAAAAUGCCUUGGGAUGAUCCCCAGAAUGAGCUGGACAAAGUGGGUGGGGAUAUGGUAGUUUGGGCCUCCCUGCUGAAGCUGC
Long non-coding RNA from Syngnathus acus (greater pipefish), 1363 nucleotides. RefSeq lists it as uncharacterized. NCBI's taxonomy places the organism in Eukaryota, Metazoa, Chordata, Actinopteri, Syngnathiformes, Syngnathidae. The transcript has 2 exons. The record is from RefSeq and is a predicted model, not a curated record.